CAAUAGCGUAUAUUAAAGUUGUUGCAGUUAAAACGCUCGUAGUCGGAUUUCGGGGCGGGUCCGCUGGUCUGCCGAUGGGUACGCACUGGCGGGCGCGUCCUUCCUUCCGGAGACUGGCCCUACUCUUAGCUGAGCGGGGUCGGGAGUCGGAUUGUUUACUUUGAAAAAAUCAGAGUGUUUCAAGCAGGCAGCUCGCUCUUGCAUGGAUUAGCAUGGGAUAAUGAAAUAGGACUUUGGUGCUAUUUUGUUGGUUUCGAACACCGAAGUAAUGAUUAACAGGGACAGUCAGGGGCACUCGUAUUCCGCCGAGAGAGGUGAAAUUCUCAGACCAGCGGAAGACGAACCACUGCGAAAGCAUUUGCCAGGGAUGUUUUCACUGA
This 380-nucleotide ribosomal RNA is filed under the name uncultured eukaryote. RNAcentral describes it as "partial 18S ribosomal RNA". It matches the Rfam family "Eukaryotic small subunit ribosomal RNA", at positions 592 to 976 of the family's 1831-position model. The record is from RNAcentral.